GGCAGAAACAGAGGAUGCUGGAGCGCAGCUCACUUCUCCUUGCAGCUCCCGGACGGCUCUCUGCCCGCUGCCGCUGCGCUUCGUAUGGCCGCACACCUGGGCCCCCCCGGUGUGGGUCCUGCCUGUGGGUCUGCACAGCCACGGCACAGACUGAAACCUCCCUCACGUUGUGGAGAAGCAUUGAGAGACAGAGGCAGAAGAAGCUGAAUGUUUCUACAACCCUGCAGCUCUUUUUUAGAACUACUGAAUCUGAAGUGUACUGAAUGGGGUGAGUAUUUGUGCUUAUUUUCAGCUCUGUUAAUUGAGGAGGGUGGCUGUCCUUGCUUUAACCUGCUUUCUCUGCUGAAGUCAUUUUGCCUCAUAAGCCCCAUGGAGAUUUGAGACGCAAAGCCAGUUUAUUUCUGCAGUGGUCCCACUUUGUUCAGAAAUAUUGCCAAAGGCUUAUUUGGAAACCCUUCUCAUAGGAAAUAGGAACAUUUGGUACUUUGCAAAGACCGAAAAGACUCAAAAUAGAAAGUACAGUUACCAACUGUGAGUAUACUACCUCCCUUCAAAUUUAACAUCUGAGGAGAAAGCCCAAUAAAAAUAAAAAAAUAUUCAUCAGAUAUUAAAAUGUGGUGUGACUCUACGUAUUGAUAUAAUUAUUGGUUAAUUGAUUGUUAUUACAUAUGACAUUUUCUGAUACGGGCGUUACCACACAUUCCAUAGUAAAAUGUUAAAGAAAAAUACUAUUUUAGGGUAUACUUUCAUGCUGCAUUUUAUGCCUGAAAAUAUAGAAGUCUUCACCAUGAUCAAAGAGGAUGGGCUAUUCACAACUGCCUAUUUUGAAAAAAAAUCUCAAAUUUUUACAAAUUUGUAAGAAAUUGAAGUAUGUGUUGUUAUGCUGGAAUGCCUCCUGUUAAGUGGGAUGCAGAGGUGACUGACGGACAGGUUUUUUAUGACUACCCUUCACGAUUGCUUCAUGCUUUCAAAAGAGAACAGUGUCAUUAUUUUACAUGAUCCUCCCCACAGCAAAGAUGAAAUCUAUCUGUCCAGAAGGACUCCUGGGAAACAAACAGUUUUUUGUCAGUGUUCAUCUGCUGUCAUGGUGUCCCCAGAAGUUUCAUGAAACAGAUACUUCAACAGUAAUAGAACAGCGAAGAAGUAUAACCAUACCAGCAGCUGAAUUUCCUACCCUGGGUAGCUGAGUGGAACUGUGCAUGGCCACAGUGGUGCAGGGAGGAGGCAGUGCUCGGGAUUAGAAUUUAAGCUUGUAGGGGAAAAUGAGAAAUUUCUUCCUUGAAUGCAGUGGGAUUCUGUCCUUCAGAGGAUCCCACCCAUGUCAUCAUAUAGUGUGCUUCUAUUUAGACCAUACAGCAAAUCUGUUCUGGUAUUCCCAUUAAUAGUGUUUAUUUGUUAUUUAUUGGAGGUCUUCAUCAAAACAAUAAAGCAAUUAUUUUGGCAUUUCUCCACUAGCUGUGCCUUGGUGCUUGCAGAUCUGAUCUGCAGGCCAUAAUGUUAACUAAACCAUCAAAUAACAGUAAAGUAUUCUAGAUCCUAAAGAUGCUAUAUCACAGCCCUUCGGAGAAAUACAGCCAUAUGCUAUAGGAAAACCAGUGCCCAUUUUUAGCACAAGCAACGCCGAGAUACAAAUCAUAUCACACAGAGUCAGCGUUAAUUAAGUCAGGCACCUACUGUUUGCCUAAGUUUGCAACAGCUAUUAAUUUGAAGGACUGCUGUAGCACUAAGAAAAGAUAAUUAACAAAUGUAGCAUUUCUUGACAUGAUAAACACAAUU
Molecule: long non-coding RNA, 1776 nt
Organism: Tyto alba (common barn owl)
Lineage: Eukaryota; Metazoa; Chordata; Aves; Strigiformes; Tytonidae
Exons: 3
Source: RefSeq, a predicted model, not a curated record